RNAcentral lists this ribosomal RNA (270 nucleotides) under uncultured bacterium. Its description in RNAcentral is "partial 16S ribosomal RNA". It matches the Rfam family "Bacterial small subunit ribosomal RNA", at positions 334 to 596 of the family's 1533-position model. The record is from RNAcentral.
UGUUCCUACGGGGGGCAGCAGUAGGGAAUCUUCCACAAUGGGCGAAAGCCUGAUGGAGCAACGCCGCGUGGGUGAAGAAGGUCUUCGGAUCGUAAAACCCUGUUGUUAGAGAAGAAAGUGCGUGAGAGUAACUGUUCACGUUUCGACGGUAUCUAACCAGAAAGCCACGGCUAACUACGUGCCAGCAGCCGCGGUAAUACGUAGGUGGCAAGCGUUAUCCGGAUUUAUUGGGCGUACAGGGAGCGCAGACGGCAGGGCAAGUCUGAUGUG